This 109-nucleotide ribosomal RNA is filed under the name Petromyzon marinus (sea lamprey). The record is from RNAcentral. Lineage: Eukaryota; Metazoa; Chordata; Hyperoartia; Petromyzontiformes; Petromyzontidae.
GCCUACGACCAUAUCACCCUGAAUGCGCCUGAUCUCGGAAGCUAAGCAUGGUCGAGCCUGAUUAGUACUUGGAUGGGAGACUGCCUUGGAAUACCAGGUGUUGUAGGCU